This 103-nucleotide small nuclear RNA is filed under the name Neotoma lepida (desert woodrat). The record is from RNAcentral. Lineage: Eukaryota; Metazoa; Chordata; Mammalia; Rodentia; Cricetidae.
GUGCUCACAUGGCAUCGUAUACACUAAAAUCGGAACAAAAUAGAAAUUAGUAUGGUCCUUGUACAAGGAUGACAUGCAGAUUCCUGAGGCAUUUUUAUGUUUU